RNAcentral lists this long non-coding RNA (1411 nucleotides) under Oncorhynchus mykiss (rainbow trout). RNAcentral's name for it is "lncRNA (ENSOMYG00000036922.2)". The record is from RNAcentral. Lineage: Eukaryota; Metazoa; Chordata; Actinopteri; Salmoniformes; Salmonidae.
UGCAGAUGGGUACAAGACCAUUCACCACCUCUGUACAACCCCAGUCAGCCAGGCCCUGCCUCUGGAGCUGCAGCUGGCUUCCCGGGUCUGUCACACCUCCAGCCAACUCAGUGCACCACCACAGUUUCACCAACAGAGGGCAGCACUACAACACAUCGCUGCCCAGCCUGACAGACACAGGUAAAAUGCUUUUAUUACAUUUUUUUAUUGAACCUUUAUUUAUCUAUCUCUCCCAGGCUCUGCUUCAUAAGUUGUUUUCUGACCAAAACCUAGACUUUAUAGCAACAUUUGAAAUUGAAGUGCUGUGAUACAGGGUUGCAUUAAAUUAUUUAGUAAAUAUGAUUUGGUCAUCGUCUCCACUUUCUCUCUCACUACCUUCUGCACUCCACGUGGGAAAACUUUGCAUGUCAGGAGUAUCAUUACAACAACCUCAUAUAAUGUGAAACUAUUGAAUCUCUUUGCAGGAUAUUAAAUGAAGGUGUGCCCCGCGUGGAGGUGACUGAGUCUGAUGGAAAGGACUGUGUGAGUCACCUGCCUCCCCAGACUUCAGACAGCCUGGCUGACUGGCAGAGGAUCGCUGAGUUUUACGUAGAGAAGCCCAGGAUGAUGCUUCAUGGACAGGCGGUGAGGAGGAUCAGCACUAUGUUUAUACAACUUUCCCCUCCAAACAUUUUGUCUAGAAAGUGUUUCACCAUCCAACAAGAUGAUCCACUAGGUGGCACCAAACAUAUUUGUAACUCAUUAGAAACAGGAGUCUGGGGACUGCUUAUAACAUGAUACUAACACUGUAGCUAUCUGGGAUUGUUUAAGAAUGUCAAAUGUUUCAGUUCCAAUGUUUCAGUUUCAGUUCCGCAUUAUCUUUUUAAUGUCACGUGUGAGUUUGUUUUAUUCAAGGGGCCUUUUCAUUAGUCUAGAUGAGUCACCUGUCUUGAAGUGUCUAUCCUCCCAGUUAUCUGUGUGUCUCAUACAGUAUCUCUCUCCUUCCUCCCAGACCUCUCUGUGUUCCAACGAGCUGAAGAUGUUCUGGCAUCCAGCGCCUCCUAAGUUCAGCUGCUCUCCUGCAUUCGUCAAACACAAACUCUUUCCCAAGUACCAGGCAACGCGGAAAGAUCUCUCCAGAGAGGAGCUCUAUGGUGAUCUACAGGACCUGGUGGAAUCAGCCUGUGACCUGACAGAGAUGGAGCCAACCACCUCAGUGGUCAGUGUGUGCUUUAGUUACCCCCCCCCCCCCCCCCCCCCCCUCCCCCCUUCUAGCAUGCCCUUACGAACGUGUUGGAUCUUCCUACAGGAAAAUGUGCUGUCCAGAAAGUUCAAGUCUAUGAUAGACCUCAGAGUAACUGAGCAGUCACCUCAACCCUACAUUGACGAAGAACAGGUGAGUGUAUAUGAAAAAUGUCAUGUCGUUCAAUAA